GGGUGUACUUGGUUUGCAUUCACUAUCGUAAGGCAUUAUGGGAGGUGUAGUUCCUAGUGUUUCAUGCUAUUAGUUCUCUGCGUUGUUUUGUAUUAUCCGGAGCACAGCAUUGUGGGAGUUAUCAUUCUUUUCACAUCUGAGUUGGUUUUGAGACUACUUCAUAGAAUCACCUAAAUCUGCAACCCCAGAAUAUUGUAAAGCAAUUUUAUUGUCUUUCACGUAUAGAUGAAACCAACCUGUGUUAUGUGCAUGUUACAGAAUCAUAACAUCACAGAAAACUACUAGAAAGACAAGGUGGAUGACUAAGUCUCUUCACUUUCUUCCUCAUUGUCCUAUAUACAUGGAAUGCCCUCCCUACGCUUGUCCAGUCCAUCUAGCCCAGUAUCCUGUCUUCCAACAGUGGCCAAUGCCAGCUGCCCCAGAGGGAAUGAACAGAACAGUUGUGAUCCUGCAAGUUGUUCUACAUGAGUGGAUCCCUGAGUCAAACAGUGUCUUCUUCUGGUUUGCGGAAACCGGCUUCCUAUUGGCUAGGACGGAAGUGUCACAUGACUCGGAGCCGCGUUAUGCGAGUGCAAAAUUCACGCCGCUACCAAAGAUGGCGGCCUCUAUUGGAGUGGCGGCCUGUCGGGCUCUGCACAGCCGCUGCCAUGGGAAGUUGCUGUCUAUAGGUCGGGGGCUCUUCAGUGGGGCGCGGUGCCUUGUCGCGGAGGGGGAGACGAACUUCGGAUUCCAGACUGUGUCGGAGGCGGAGAAAGGGGAGAAAGUUUACCAUGUAUUUGAAAGUGUGGCUAAGAAGUAUGAUAUGAUGAAUGAUUCAAUGAGUCUGGGGAUUCAUCGGCUCUGGAAGGAUAUCCUGCUGCAUCAAAUGAACCCUUACCCAGGAACUCAGCUGUUAGAUGUUGCUGGAGGGACAGGUGACAUCGCCUUUCGGUUUAUCAAUUAUGUUCGUUCCCAGUGGGAGCACCAGAUCAGACAGAAACUGAAAUCCCAUCAGAAUUUAUCAUGGCAGGAAAUCUCUAAGAGUUACGAGGAAGAGGAACUUAAAUUGCCAGGAGGGUCCCAAGUGGUGGUCUGUGACAUUAACAAGGAAAUGAUAAAAGUUGGAAAGCAGAAAGCACAACAUCUUGGCUACUCCGAAGGCUUGUCCUGGGUGGUUGGGAAUGCUGAAGAGCUGCCCUUCAAUGACAACAAGUUUGAUGUUUACACAAUUGCCUUUGGAAUACGGAAUGUAACUCAUAUUGACCAGGCACUUCAGGAGGCGUAUCGUGUGCUGAAACCAGGAGGGAGAUUUCUGUGUCUGGAAUUUAGUCAAGUCAGCAACCCCCUUGUUUCCAGGCUCUAUGACUUGUACAGUUUCCAGGUUAUCCCUGUUCUGGGUGAGAUUAUUGCUGGAGAUUGGAAGUCCUACCAGUACCUUGUGGAAAGCAUCCGACGCUUUCCAGCCCAGGAGGUGUUCAAGGCAAUGAUUGAAGAUGCAGGUUUUCUGAAGGUGGAAUAUCGGAAUCUAACAGCAGGCAUUGUAGCCAUUCACUCAGGUUUCAAACUGUGACCCUCCUACUUUGCAAAGCUCUUGAAGAAUAAAGGGUAUUUCCCCUGAAGAAGCUAAAAAGCUAUGCAACUCCAAAAACUUCACUGCCACGAUAGUCUGAGGGGAUGGGAAGACUUGGUCCCUCUGCAGAAUCUAAAGCUUCAGAUUUUGGGUUUCUGGAAAGUUGAAAUUAUGUUCUUACAACCAUGUCAGGACCUAGAAUCCCUCUAGCACUUACCCAUUUAUCAUCAAGCCCUGAAGAACAAAGGAAGCAGCACUGGACUGGGGGCUGGAAAUCCUGACAAAGUGGUUCAGCCAGGAAGACUGCUAGUACUUGUGGUGAGAGAGACCUUUGCUUUGUAUUCACUUAGCUUGUUAAGUUAGGUGUAGUUGUGUUUUACCUUUUAUUUCCUUGUAACCAAUCCUGACUUAUACCUGUAGUCACUUAAUCUGUUUUUCUAUAGUUAAUAGAUUUGUUGUAUUAUCUAAACCAGUGUGUUUGGACUGAAGUAUUUGGGAUAACAAGACUUGUGCAUAUCAUUUUCUAUUAAUAAAUGACAGACUUGAUACAAGUUUGUAUUGUCCAGGAGGGUGCUGGGCAGUACAAAGCACAUUUCUGGGGGAAAGUCAGGGACUGGGAGUUUGCUGGUGUUGGCCUGCAGUGUAAUUCAUGGGUGGCUGCCUAUAGCACUCAUACAGUAUGGCUGGGAGUGAUUUAUAUGCUGGAGGCUGAGAGCGAGCAGAUCAGAAGUGGUUGCUCUCACAGCGAAACAGGGUUUAUAAAAGACAUCCCCAGGUUCGGGAAUUGAGGGGACAGCUGUUCAUCAGUCCAGACUGUACUCUGGUUAAUGUCAACUGCCCACCUGCCAAGUCUUGCAUGACUCAAGCCAGUUUACUAAGUGUACAUAUUCUCCCCUUCCAUCCAAGAAUCUAGCACAUCCUCCUAGUAGAUCCUUAGCACAAUAGCUUUCAAGCUAUGGAUCUCAACCAGCAAUAGGGCAACGCCCUUGCUAGUGAUCUGCAAAAGAAUUUUGAAAGUCAAGCAGUAAAGGAAUUGGGUAUGGAAGAGGGGUGACACAGGAUCUCAAACAGGUGCACACAAUGAAAGUGCAGAGUACUUAAGAGGCAUUCCAGUGAGUCCAUCAUGCUAGUCUGCAUUAUCCUAGUUCGUAAGAACAUAAGUGAAAAUAGUGAGUUGAUCCACAGAGGAAAAGAUCAGAGCAUAACAAGCCCUAAUAC
RNA transcript from Chelonia mydas (Green sea turtle), 2767 nucleotides. It is a transcript of the gene named coenzyme Q5, methyltransferase, with no coding region annotated. The record is from RefSeq and is a predicted model, not a curated record. The transcript has 11 exons. NCBI's taxonomy places the organism in Eukaryota, Metazoa, Chordata, Testudines, Cheloniidae.